ACAUGUGUUUAACUUACGUUUUUUAGGAAUACUCGUACAAAGAAUUAUUAAAUGCAUAUUUUCCAGAAACAAUAGAAAGAGAAAAACAAAAGAAGAAAGAAAAAGAAAAAGAAGCAAAGAUCAGAAAUAAGAAAGAACAAGAAAAAGGAAAGACGUUAGAUGACAACGACUUUAUAAAAAAUAAUGAGAAGACGCUUGAUAAAAAGUUAAUGGAAAAUGGUAUAAAAAAUUUUGAACAUAUUAAUAAAAUAACAGAUUAUAAAAAAAAAAAUAAAAUAUUAGAUAUAACUUAUAAUGUUAUUGAAGAUACAUUAAAAGAUGUAUAUGAAAACAAAACUAUGGAAAAAAAUGAAAAAGAGAAUGAAAAAAAAAAUUAUUUAGAAAUAGCAAAAAAAGAAAAAGAUUUAUUAUAUAGCAAAUUAAUAAAUAAUAAUUCAAUAGUAAAUAAUAGUAGUACAUUCGAUUUAUUUGGUGUUUUUUAUGAUAAUAAAAAUUAUAAAGAUGAAAAAAAAAUAAUAUCCGAAAUUAAUAAAAUGUUAAACUUAGAACCUUUUAAAAGUACUAAUAAAGUCAAUAUACUUGAACACAUUGACAGUCUUUUAAAUUUAAAGACUGAUAAAUUACCAAUACAUAUUCGUAACUUUCUUAUAAAAUAUAGAAGUAUAGCAAAAAAAAUUUAUUCUAUGAAAAAAAAAAAAAAAAAUUAUGAAGAAGGGGAAGGAGAGGAAGAAAGAGAAAAAUUAAAAAACGAUGAUAAAAUUAACACAAAUGAAAAUUAUCCCAACGAAUGUGACAAAAUAAGAAAAAAAAAAAACGAAUAUGAUGGUAAUGAUUUUGUGAAAAAAAACAAUGAAACAAAAAAGUAUAACGGAAAUAGUACAUAUCGAACUGGGUGUAAGUCGGAAACAUAUUAUGAAUGGGGGAACAGUGAAAUGGGCAUGGGCAAAUCCGAAAGUACUAGUAAAGAUAAUGUAGAAAGUACUAACGAAAACAAUUACGACGAUGAUAAAACUAAGUACCCCGAUUUUUAUAAAGACGUUAACAAAGUGCUUAUGAGUUUUGAUGAGAAAUUUAAUAAUAAGGAAUUAAUAAAAAAAGACCAAUUUUUGAUCGACGAAUUAUAUGAAGAAUAUGAAAAACAUAUUCAAAAUGUGAAUAAUAAAAAAAAUAAAUUAGAACCACAAAAUAAUAAUUAUGACUUUUUAACAUAUGUUCAUGAACACAUUGAGGAAUUUCUUUUUUAUAAGUAUGGAAAUUUUAAUUACGAUUUUCAUAGACAAGUGCAAAAGGUGCAAAAUGAAAUAGAAAAUAAAAACGAUGAUAAAAAACAUAAAAAUUGUAAUGAUGGAAGGAUGCUAGGACUUGUUCAAGGGGAGGGAUAUGAUAGUAAUGGCAGCCAUGAUGGUAAUGGUAGCCAUGAUGGUAAUGGCAGCCGUGAUGGUAAUGGCAGCCGUGAUGGUAAUGGCAGCCGUGAUGGUAAUGACAGCCAUGAUGGUAAUGGUAGCCAUGAUGGUAAUGGUAGCCAUGAUGGUAAUGGUAGCCGUGAUGGUAAUGGCAGCCGUGAUGGUAAUGGCAGCCGUGAUGGUAAUGGCAACCCAAACGGUCAAUCCAAUAUCCCACUCAUAGAUAAUAAAAAAAGAAAGGAAAGCAUUUUAAACAAAAUAAAAGUUAGCAAGAAGUUGAAAAAUGUCGUCCUUUCAGAUAUAAUAGAAAACUAUAAUAAAAGAAUGUAUGACAUUUAUAAACCUACCGAUUUAAUAACGAAUGAGUAUGGUUUUAAUAAUUAUAUAAGUAAUGAACAAUAUGAUAAAGAAAUUAAUGUAUCGUUAAACAAAUAUAGUAUAUUAAAUUAUGACAGUAAAGAGGAAUUUAAUAAUGACGAAAGCUUAUACGUAGGUA
Piliocolobus tephrosceles (Ugandan red Colobus) is the source of this 1899-nucleotide long non-coding RNA. NCBI's taxonomy places the organism in Eukaryota, Metazoa, Chordata, Mammalia, Primates, Cercopithecidae. The record is from Ensembl.